RNAcentral lists this ribosomal RNA (433 nucleotides) under uncultured bacterium. RNAcentral describes it as "partial 16S ribosomal RNA". It matches the Rfam family "Bacterial small subunit ribosomal RNA", at positions 29 to 507 of the family's 1533-position model. The record is from RNAcentral.
AACGAACGCUGGCGGCAUGCCUAACACAUGCAAGUCGAACGAGACCUUCGGGUCUAGUGGCGCACGGGUGCGUAACGCGUGGGAACCUGCCCUUAGGUUCGGAAUAACUCCCCGAAAGGGGUGCUAAUACCGGAUAAUGUCUUCGGACCAAAGAUUUAUUGCCUUUGGAUGGGCCCGCGUUGGAUUAGCUAGUUGGUAGGGUAAAAGCCUACCAAGGCGACGAUCCAUAGCUGGUCUGAGAGGAUGCUCAGCCACACUGGGACUGAGACACGGCCCAGACUGCUACGGGAGGGAGCAGUGGGGAAUAUUGGACGAUGGGCGAAAGCGUGAUCCAGCAAUGCGGGGUGAGUGAUGAAGGCCUUAGGGUUGUAAAGCUCUUUUACCCGGGAUGAUAAUGACGGUACCGGGAGAAUAAGCUCCGGCUAACUCCGUG